UACGUAGGAGGCAAGCGUUAUCCGGAAUGACUGGGCGUAAAGGGUGCGUAGGUGGUUUGACAAGUUGGUAGCGCAACUCCGGGGCUCAACCUCGGCACUACUACCAAAACUGUUGAACUUGAGUGCAGGAGGGGCAAAUGGAAUUCCUAGUGUAGCGGUGGAAUGCGUAGAUAUUAGGAGGAACACCAGUGGCGAAGGCGGGUUCCUGGACAUUAACUGACGCUGAGGCACGAAGGCCAGGGGAGCGAAAGGG
RNAcentral lists this ribosomal RNA (253 nucleotides) under uncultured Eubacteriales bacterium. RNAcentral describes it as "uncultured Clostridiales bacterium partial 16S ribosomal RNA". It matches the Rfam family "Bacterial small subunit ribosomal RNA", at positions 524 to 776 of the family's 1533-position model. Lineage: Bacteria; Bacillati; Bacillota; Clostridia; Eubacteriales. The record is from RNAcentral.